This 161-nucleotide long non-coding RNA is filed under the name Struthio camelus australis. RNAcentral's name for it is "lncRNA (ENSSCUG00000013242.1)". Lineage: Eukaryota; Metazoa; Chordata; Aves; Struthioniformes; Struthionidae. The record is from RNAcentral.
GCAAAGCAUAAGGAUGAAAGGUUUAAAUCAAAAGUGGACAUAUCAAGUCUUUGCUGCCCUCUCUUGAUUGGAGACUGAGAUUAACAGGAAAGCUGUUAUCGUCAGCUUGUCCCCAGUACAAAAACUGCCCUGUAAGACAACACAUAGAAGCUGACAGCAAG